This 557-nucleotide ribosomal RNA is filed under the name uncultured Ascomycota. RNAcentral's name for it is "SSU rRNA". It matches the Rfam family "Eukaryotic small subunit ribosomal RNA", at positions 194 to 755 of the family's 1831-position model. The record is from RNAcentral. Lineage: Eukaryota; Fungi; Ascomycota.
GGAAGGGGUGUAUUUAUUAGAUAAAAAACCAACGCCCUUCGGGGCUUCUUGGUGAUUCAUGAUAACUUCACGGAUCGCAUGGCCUUGCGCCGGCGACGGUUCAUUCAAAUUUCUGCCCUAUCAACUUUCGAUGGUAAGAUAGUGGCUUACCAUGGUCUCAACGGGUAACGGGGAAUUAGGGUUCUAUUCCGGAGAGGGAGCCUGAGAAACGGCUACCACAUCCAAGGAAGGCAGCAGGCGCGCAAAUUACCCAAUCCCAAUUCGGGGAGGUAGUGACAAUAAAUACUGAUACGGGGCUCUUUCGGGUCUCGUAAUUGGAAUGAGUACAAUCUAAAUCCCUUAACGAGGAACAAUUGGAGGGCAAGUCUGGUGCCAGCAGCCGCGGUAAUUCCAGCUCCAAUAGCGUAUAUUAAAGUUGUUGCCGUUAAAAAGCUCGUAGUUGAACCUUGGACCUGGCUGAUCUGUCCUCCUAAUCGAGCGCACGGAUUCGGUCGGGUCUUUCCUUCUGGGGAGCCCUAUGCCCUUCACUGGGUGUAGUGGGGAACCAGGACUUUUAC